This 487-nucleotide ribosomal RNA is filed under the name uncultured bacterium. Its description in RNAcentral is "bacterial SSU rRNA". It matches the Rfam family "Bacterial small subunit ribosomal RNA", at positions 56 to 512 of the family's 1533-position model. The record is from RNAcentral.
UGCAAGUCGAACGAAGAGCGACGGAAGCUUGCUUCUAUCAAUCUUAGUGGCGAACGGGUGAGUAACGCGUAAUCAACCUGCCCUUCAGAGGGGGACAACAGUUGGAAACGACUGCUAAUACCGCAUACGAUCUAAUCUCGGCAUCGAGGAUAGAUGAAAGGUGGCCUCUACAUGUAAGCUAUCACUGAAGGAGGGGAUUGCGUCUGAUUAGCUAGUUGGAGGGGUAAUGGCCCACCAAGGCGAUGAUCAGUAGCCGGUCUGAGAGGAUGAACGGCCACAUUGGGACUGAGACACGGCCCAGACUCCUACGGGAGGCAGCAGUGGGGAAUCUUCCGCAAUGGACGAAAGUCUGACGGAGCAACGCCGCGUGAGUGAUGACGGCCUUCGGGUUGUAAAGCUCUGUUAAUCGGGACGAAAGGCCUUCUUGCGAAUAGUUAGGAGGAUUGACGGUACCGGAAUAGAAAGCCACGGCUAACUACGUGCCAGC